UCCAUGUCACGGCUAGCGCACGCGUCCGUCAUCGGGCGACCCUCCUCGCGGGCUAAGAGCAUCCUCGACCCCCCCGGACAAACCCUAACCCACUAGCCCCUCUCCCCCUCAGUUCCUCCCCUUCCCCAUAGCCCGCAACCGAGCUGCCGUGGCCAUGGUCGUCGUCGUCGUCGCGGCCACCGACUUCCCCGGCGCCUGAAAAGAUGUCCGGAGCUGCGUCAUGGACGUCUCCUUCGACUAGUGCUACCGGUUCGAGCGGGGAAGCACUACAUCACCGGGAUCGACGCGACUUCCUCGCCUACGGCUGCCGCUGCCCCGCGCCCGAUCUACCUCACCGGAGCUCCUUCGCCAUGCCGGCCGCGUCCUCCGCUUCCCCCGUGAGCUCCUCUCCCCAUUCCCCCUAUUUUCCCCUCGAUUUGGUCACGUAGGUCGCCGUUCCACCGUCGUGGCCACUUGCUCCCGUUGAGGCCGCCAUGGCCUGAGCUCCGUGCUCACCCGCAUGCGUAUGCCUGUCCGUGUCCAGUCCCCCGCGCCCCGCGCCUGCCCUCGUGUGCCCAGUCGCGCCCCCCUGGCCGCGCCCGGCGCGCCCCUGCCCGUCCGCUAGUUGCCACUCACGCGCGCCCGUGCUGACGGUUGCUCGUGCUGCUCUGUUGCUGCUCCUUCUGCUGAUCCCGCUCAUUGCCCUCGAUGCAUUCUGCUGCUGCUACUUGGUCGCAGCUGCGCCUGCUCCCUGCUCCUUGUAACGCUGCUGCUUGCUGUUGCUAAUGCCUACUGCUAUUGCUGCUAUCUGUACUGCUCAUGCCGCUGCUAUUGCUGGUUGCCAUGGCCGUGAGUUGUGUUCGUGUGUGUGCACGGCUGUGCCACGGCCGGCCCUUAUUUAGUUAGUAUAGGCUUAGUUAGAAGUACUACUAGUUUAGUGCUAAGUUAAUUUAGUAGUAGAAGACAUGUAGACCCCAUUAAAUAAGUUAGAUUUAUUUAUUUGUUUAGGUAAGUAGUCUAUGACAUGUGGGCCACACCUGCCCUUUUGACUAGUCAAAUUGACUUGGUCAAUUCGGAUUAAGCUAAAUACUCCCUCCGUUCCUAAAUAUUUGUCUUUUAGAGAUUUCAAAUGGACUACCACAUACGGAUGUAUAUAGACAUAUUUUAGAGUCUAGAUUCACUCAUUUUGCUUCGUAUGUAGUCACUUGUUGAAAUCUCUAGGAAGACAAAUAUUUAGGAACGAAGGGAGUAUAAAAAUUUCAGGAUAUGUUUAAAACUUAGAGAAUUCAUAAAAAAUAAUCCGUAACUCGGAUGAAAAAGUUUUCUACAUGAAAGUUGUUCAAAAAAAUCCAACGAAUCCGAAUACGCUCUCAAUUCAUCUGUCGCGCAUACCUAGCAUAGAGAACCUGCAACUUUCCCCCUCCGGUGCGUCUGUCCGAAAAUGCCUAACACCGGGAAAACAUUCCCGGAUGUUUCCCUCCUUCGCCGGUAUCGGUAGCCCUGCAUUAGAACACCCCUAGCACCGCUUAUUGUCAUGUCAUGCAACUGUGUGCCUUGUAUUUACUGUUUCUUCCCGCUCUUCUUUUCCGAUAGACCUCGAGACCGACGCUGAUGCCUCUGAGUACGACUACGUCAACGACGACCCCUCCUUGCCAGAGCAACCAGGCAAUCCCCCUCUUUGAUCAUCCCAAUAUCGCCCAUUCCAUUCUCUCAUGCUUGCAUUAGAUUUUGCUACUGUUAUUGUUUUCUCCUAUUCUGAUGCAUAGCCUGCUUUUGUAACCUGCUCAUUGUCUCUUAGCUGCUUAUCCUAAACUGCUUAGUAUAGGUUGGUUAGUGAUCCAUUAGUGACCUCCACCUUGUCCUUGUUGCCCCUGCUUCAUCAUCGAAGACCCGAUCAACGGGAUCGAAGACCAGGCCCCGGCACCGCACAUCACUUUCUCCUUAGUUGCUCGACACUACCGGGUUACUAUCGAGUGCCGAGGGUGAGACCUCUACAACACUUCUGAUGUUAAACCUGUAGUGUAGCUAUUUGGUCGUGGUCAUCGAGUGUGAUUCCGCCUUAACCACUUCCAAUACGACUCUGUCGUGCAACCCCUAAAGUGUGAACCUUGGGGGUGGUUCCUCUUACGUUCACGUUGAUGAUUACAUCGAGUGGAAUUCACUGGGGGUGAUUCCUCGGGUUUUCCCCUUGAUGUUUGGACACACAGAUACUUGAACUUUACCACUGUUGCUUGGAAAGGCGGGUCGACCCUGAGGGGUACCCGCGAGUGAUGUGGAGACGAGUUGACCUGGAGGGUGCUUGUGAGAUAAUUACGAGGCGUGGCCGGGCAUUUCUAGCCCUUGCCGCAAGUCCUCGAGACGGGGCAACGGGGUCACAUCUUUCUUGAGUCUCUGCUUGUUACCGUGCGUUCCUAAUCCACUAUGAUUUGGAUAUUUGAUCUGAGGGGCCUCUGGCCUGAUAGCACUAACCAUCACGUGGGCAUAGUAUGGACGUUCUGCAUCGUAUGCAUUAGCCGAAGCAUAAUAGACGUUAGCGACUGAGCGGCGCACGCCGGGUUGGACUGGUAAGCACCUGCCUUUUUUAAGGAGGUAGCUAGGUCUGCUCACCGGCCGCCCUCGCAACGUGCAGGAGUUCCCGGGGCGAUGGCCCAAGACCCCUGGGGGCAUAGGUUUAGUCCGGCGUGUUGACCUCUCUAUUAAGCCUAGGUCGGGUAUUGUUUGGCCGAGGCCGGGCAUGACCCAAGAAAGUGUGUCCGGCCAAAGUUAAUUGAGCAUGGUGGGUAAGUUGGUGCACCCCUGCAGGGAAGAAAACAUCUAUCGAUAGCCUGUCCUACGAUAACGGACACUUGGAGUUGUAUCCUGAUCGAUACAACUAGAACUGGAUACUUGUGAUGAGAAUUGGAUUGUGAUGAGAAAUGGAUAGUAUGGCUCUAAGAUUGCUUUUCUCGCAGGGAGUCGAGAAAGGAUCUCUGGCCGAGGUUGAUAACACUACUACUACUUUACUUUAUGCUACUCUACUCCCUCUUGUUGCUGCAAGAUGGUAGUUUCUAGAAGAUGCUAGUCUUCGAUAGGACUAGGCUCUUCCCUCUAUUCUGACAUUUCUGUAGCCCAGACCACAUAUACAACCUUCCUUUGAUAAUGUUGCAUACGUAGUGUAGAUCCUUCCUUGCGAGUACUUUGGAUGAGUAGUCACGAUUGCUUUGCUCCCCCUUUUCCUCUUUUCUUCUUCUUUCCGGUUGAUGCAACCAGAUAUCGGAGCCCAGGAGCCAGAUGCGACCGUCGAUGCCUACUACUAUGUGGAGACCGUCGAUGACCAGGAGUAGUUAGGAGGCUCCCAGGCAGGAGGCCUUGCCUUUUCGAUCGUUGCUACUUUUGUGCUAGCCUUCUUAAGGCAAACUUGUCUAACUCUUGUCUGUACUCAGAUAUUGUUGCUUCCGCUGACUCUUGUGUAUUCGAGUUUAUGUAUUCGAGCCCUCGAGGCCCCUGACUUGUAAUAUAAAGCUUGUAUUAUUUUAAUUUGUGUCUAGAGUUAUGUUUUGAUAUCUUUCCGUGAGUCCUUG
RNAcentral lists this long non-coding RNA (3539 nucleotides) under Triticum aestivum (bread wheat). RNAcentral's name for it is "long non-coding RNA (TAES_LNC012061)". The record is from RNAcentral. Lineage: Eukaryota; Viridiplantae; Streptophyta; Magnoliopsida; Poales; Poaceae.